This 429-nucleotide ribosomal RNA is filed under the name Chloroflexota bacterium. RNAcentral describes it as "Chloroflexi bacterium partial 16S ribosomal RNA". It matches the Rfam family "Bacterial small subunit ribosomal RNA", at positions 355 to 776 of the family's 1533-position model. Lineage: Bacteria; Bacillati; Chloroflexota. The record is from RNAcentral.
UGGGGAAUAUUGCACAAUGGGCGCAAGCCUGAUGCAGCCAUGCCGCGUGUGUGAAGAAGGCCUUCGGGUUGUAAAGCACUUUCAGCGGGGAGGAAGGCGUUAAGGUUAAUAACCUUGGCGAUUGACGUUACCCGCAGAAGAAGCACCGGCUAACUCCGUGCCAGCAGCCGCGGUAAUACGGAGGGUGCAAGCGUUAAUCGGAAUUACUGGGCGUAAAGCGCACGCAGGCGGUCUGUCAAGUCGGAUGUGAAAUCCCCGGGCUCAACCUGGGAACUGCAUUCGAAACUGGCAGGCUAGAGUCUUGUAGAGGGGGGUAGAAUGCCAGGUGUAGCGGUGAAAUGCGUAGAGAUCUGGAGGAAUACCGGUGGCGAAGGCGGCCCCCUGGACAAAGACUGACGCUCAGGUGCGAAAGCGUGGGGAGCAAACAAG